AAAAAACGUUAAAAAAACAGCCGGAGCCUAACCUCUGCUUGGAGAGUAACUCAACUACAAACUGUUUACUCCACCAGGCUUGUCCCAUGGGAUACGUCGUGCUGUCGGAUCCAUAGCCUGCAUCAUCGGUCCACUGUGGGGAGGGGCCACAGUUUACAUGCCAAAUGUGCUUUUUGGUGUCCUGAUCGCUUUGCAGGGACUUGUCAUGGUUCUGACCCUUCUGUCAUUUCGACAUUUGAAAGUUCCUCAUCAACAGCAGGACACAUCUGACCAUGUGCCUUCACUGAUGGUGAAUGCUGAAGCAGAUGAACAAACUCCUUUACUGAAAGAUGCACAUCCAUCUCAAGAGGUGGCACAGAAAGUUUAACUUUAACAGCCAACCUAUUAUGUAAUCAAGAUAUCAGAAUAACUAUUAUUCCAUACUGUCCAAUUGUGCAAUUGUGCAUCCACGUCAAGAGGUGUCACAGAAAGUUUAACUUUAACAGCUAACCUAUUAUAUAAUCAAGAUAUCAGAGUAACUAUUAUUCCAUACUGUCCAAUUGUGCAAUUGUGCAUCCAUCUCAAGAGGUGUCACAGAAAGUUUAACUUUAACAGUCAACCUAUUAUAUAAUCAAGAUAUCAGAAUAACUAUUAUUCCAUACUGUUCAAUUGUGCAAUUUAUUCACAGAAUUCAUACAACUGCGUGACCCCUUAAAAGUUUUAAAAGUUUAUUUCUAAGGGGGCCAGCAUACAUGAUAAGAUGUGGGACAAAAGUGGACAACAAUCAGUAGAAUAUAUAAACUCUGAUGUGAUAGAUGUUGAUAUC
Long non-coding RNA from Branchiostoma floridae (Florida lancelet), 805 nucleotides. RefSeq lists it as uncharacterized. The record is from RefSeq and is a predicted model, not a curated record. NCBI's taxonomy places the organism in Eukaryota, Metazoa, Chordata, Leptocardii, Amphioxiformes, Branchiostomatidae. The transcript is spliced from 3 exons.